UUUACCCUUUCCUUGUAAUCCUA
This 23-nucleotide small nuclear RNA is filed under the name Arabidopsis thaliana (thale cress). RNAcentral describes it as "snRNA_06162". Lineage: Eukaryota; Viridiplantae; Streptophyta; Magnoliopsida; Brassicales; Brassicaceae. The record is from RNAcentral.